UACGAAGGGGGCUAGCGUUGUUCGGAAUUACUGGGCGUAAAGCGCGCGCAGGCGGCUAUCCAAGUCAGUGGUGAAAGCCCGGAGCUCAACUCCGGAACUGCCAUUGAAACUGUUUAGCUUGAGUAUGAGAGAGGUGAGUGGAAUUCCCAGUGUAGAGGUGAAAUUCGUAGAUAUCAGGAAGAACACCCGUGGCUAAGGCGGUUCUCUAGUACGGUACUGACGCUGAGACGCGAAAGCGUGGGGAGCGAACAGG
This 253-nucleotide ribosomal RNA is filed under the name uncultured bacterium. RNAcentral describes it as "partial 16S ribosomal RNA". It matches the Rfam family "Bacterial small subunit ribosomal RNA", at positions 524 to 776 of the family's 1533-position model. The record is from RNAcentral.